UUGAACGCUGGCGGCAGGCCUAACACCUGCAAGUCGAACGGUAACAGGAAGCAGCUUGCUGCUUUGCUGACGAGUGGCGGCCGGGUGAGUAAUGUCUGGGAAACUGCCUGAUGGAGGGGGAUAACUACUGGAAACGGUAGCUAAUACCGCAUAACGUCGCAAGACCAAAGAGGGGGACCUUCGGGCCUCUUGCCAUCGGAUGUGCCCAGAUGGGAUUAGCUAGUAGGUGGGGUAACGGCUCACCUAGGCGACGAUCCCUAGCUGGUCUGAGAGGAUGACCAGCCACACUGGAACUGAGACACGGUCCAGACUCCUACGGGAGGCAGCAGUGGGGAAUAUUGCACAAUGGGCGCAAGCCUGAUGCAGCCAUGCCGCGUGUAUGAAGAAGGCCUUCGGGUUGUAAAGUACUUUCAGCGGGGAGGAAGGGAGUAAAGUUAAUACCUUUGCUCAUUGACGUUACCCGCAGAAGAAGCACCGGCUAACUCCGUG
RNAcentral lists this ribosomal RNA (489 nucleotides) under uncultured bacterium. RNAcentral describes it as "partial 16S ribosomal RNA". It matches the Rfam family "Bacterial small subunit ribosomal RNA", at positions 30 to 507 of the family's 1533-position model. The record is from RNAcentral.